Neopsephotus bourkii (Bourke's parrot) is the source of this 2053-nucleotide long non-coding RNA. RefSeq lists it as uncharacterized. The record is from RefSeq and is a predicted model, not a curated record. NCBI's taxonomy places the organism in Eukaryota, Metazoa, Chordata, Aves, Psittaciformes, Psittacidae. The transcript is spliced from 4 exons.
GCGGAGGCUAUAGCCACGGUGCAGGGGACGGGAUAAAGUACGGCUCUCGGUCUUGAUUAAUUACUGCUUAUUUCACCUCCUUCUCACUCUUUUUUUUUUUUAACUUACGUCACGUGUCAGUGCAGCGGUACCGGUAUAUAAAGAAGUAAAUAAAUACAUGUGUACUAGUCAUGGGGGAAGGCUGCCGUUUCGGGCCGUGCACCCUUGUCCGCGCAACUGCGGCCUCGCCUGCCCCGGGCAGAGCUCUCCGUCGGCAGAGCAGGUCGUUAAUAACACCAAGAAUUAACAGGCGCCGAAGGGGUCACGUCCGUUUUUCCAGGGGAGGGAUGUCAGCUCUGGCGACGUGGGGGUAAGAGCAGAUAGAGACAGAAACAGAUUCCCGAUAAAGGGACAGAGAGAGAUGUGGCUGUCCAACAGGGGCUCAAAAUAACCAAAUAGGCCUUUAUAUUGCAUCUAUUGUUUUAUUAACAUUUAGACUUGCUAGCUAUAAUCCCUUACUCACUGCUUUCCCUGUUAUGCUGAGCUGAAAAGUUUGGCUUAUCCAGAUUUCGCUAAGCUUUUUAUUAGGACGAGGCCAGCUCAGCGCUGAAUUCAUGUUCUGUAUUUUCUGUGCUAAUUUUUGGACAGCCUUUUUUUUUCUACGACUAAGAUUUUGCUCAUGACCUGUGAGCCCUGCAUGGGCAGUGUUCUAUAUGGCCCUCCAUAAUCUCGUUUUGCAGUUUCUUGUGUUCUGUUUUCCUGCAGUAAUCAAAACUCAGGCUUGCUGUAAAGCUUUAGGUGUGACCAUUGACAAGAAAACAAUCUAAAUGUGAACUUUCCUAGAAGAGAAAGAGGUAGAUAAGGAUCAGAGUUUUUUCACCUCAGCAGUUGAGUGCGGAGACCCAGCAAUAAACACUGAACUGCUGACAAACCCCAUGUGUCUGAGGUUGCUUCCAAAACCUUGAGGUUGCUGAAAGACAUGGAGUGAAAGAAGUCUGCUUUUAUUUUUCCAAUCUGUCUCCCCUUAAAUGUCUUAGCUGUAUAGCUCCCAUUUUAGAAACCCCUUAGAAGGGAGUGUUAUUGGUACAGUUUAAGCUGAAUCUCUUUGAGACUUGCUUACUUUAUCUAGAGAACACUGCUGUCUGCUCUCAGAAGCUGAAUGCCUGUUUUCCAGUGAUAUUGUUUUCCAGAGAAUUUAAGUGAAGUCCUGUUUUUUCCUGCUUUUGUCUAGAGGAUCCAUGGAUCCAUGCAAAAUUACUGGCAGUCUUUAUGUGCUGCUCAGGACAAUCUGAAAGUGUGAAGGAUACAGUCAAUCAAAUACAUGGUUAUAACACAUUUGGAUCUCUAUAGGUACUUAUAAAAGUCUUGUGUGGGAACCUCAUCAGCACAGUGUGGGUUUGUCCACCUUUAAUCAGUGUGCAGGCAGGAGAAAGGGUGCCCAGUCCUGCCUAUGGGUUGGUGCCUCUUGCAGAGUGGUUUGCUCUCUUGCCUGUCAGUAAGCCUGUGCUGAACAAGUCAGCCAGCACAGUGUCAGAUUGUUUUAGAAGUCUGCAGGGCUGUCGAGGGUAAGGAUAAAGUUCUUUAAAAGGCAUCAUUGCAUGAAGAGUAACCGACAGCAUACCCAGGAACCACAGUUACAACCAGCCAUUGAUUUUUUUCCUGCUUGAGUGCCAUAAAACAUUUUCAAGAAAUGGAAGAAGAUAAAGGGCAGAGUGCUAAAGCUACCAGUGUGGUGGGUGACUUGAGGAAAAGUUGGCAGACCUGGGCAGAGGAUCACAUUGAGUAUCAGAGAAAGAACCCAUUCAGCAGCGAGGACAGGCUUGCAUCUAAACCGGUGCAUACUCACAGAGGAGAUCCUACCUAUGGGAGACCCCCUGAAGGGUCUCGGACAGAGCAGAGAGGGAAAGAUGCUCAGUCACACGUGGGUAAGGAACUUGAAGAGCUGUGCUUGAUCAUCAAAAGCAUUGGAGAGGUGGGAGAAGAUGGACAUGUGAGUGUAACAUUCGGGCAGCUGUUUGAGACAUAUGUGACUAUUUCCAAUAAAGUAGUAGGAAUCUUGUUAAGAGCCAGAAAA